AGCGAACGCUGGCGGCAGGCCUAACACAUGCAAGUCGAACGGAUCCUUCGGGAUUAGUGGCGGACGGGUGAGUAACACGUGGGAACGUGCCCUUUGGUUCGGAACAACUCAGGGAAACUUGAGCUAAUACCGGAUGUGCCCUUCGGGGGAAAGAUUUAUCGCCAUUGGAGCGGCCCGCGUCUGAUUAGCUAGUUGGUGAGGUAAAGGCUCACCAAGGCGACGAUCAGUAGCUGGUCUGAGAGGAUGAUCAGCCACAUUGGGACUGAGGCACGGCCCAAACUCCUACGGGAGGCAGCAGUGGGGAAUCUUGCGCAAUGGGCGAAAGCCUGACGCGGCCAUGCCGCGUGAAUGAUGAAGGUCUUAGGAUUGUAAAAUUCUUUCACCGGGGACGAUAAUGACGGUACCCGGAGAAGAAGCCCCGGCUAACUUCGUGCCAGCCGCCGCAGUAA
This 449-nucleotide ribosomal RNA is filed under the name uncultured bacterium. RNAcentral describes it as "partial 16S ribosomal RNA". It matches the Rfam family "Bacterial small subunit ribosomal RNA", at positions 29 to 523 of the family's 1533-position model. The record is from RNAcentral.